Long non-coding RNA from Mugil cephalus (flathead mullet), 441 nucleotides. RefSeq lists it as uncharacterized. Lineage: Eukaryota; Metazoa; Chordata; Actinopteri; Mugiliformes; Mugilidae. The record is from RefSeq and is a predicted model, not a curated record. The transcript has 4 exons.
GUAGACAAACCGUAUAAAUUAAACGUCGCAAGAAUAUGACGUCCUUGGUGGAGACGAUUCCUUAGCGGUCGCUUCCCCUUUCGACAUGAGAGCCAAGUGGAGAAAGAAGCGCAUGCGCAGGCUGAAGCGCAAAAGGAGAAAGAUGAGGCAGAGGUCCAAGUAAACUGUCCUCUCCGCCAUGGCUGUGAUAUCGCACGUUGUCAGCUACCAGACCCGUGGGCACAGCUGGAGACCCAGGACCCUUACCAUGUCCAACACUGAGGCCAGCGCACUCCAUUUCAACUAGAGGCAGCGGUGCAGCCGCAGAUUGAAGCUGGAGCGUUGAUUCACCACCUGCUGGAUAUUCCGGCUUUUCCUCUGGGACAAUUUGGACUCGUUCUUAAUUCCUCAACUUUUGUCUUUUGUUUAUACUGUGAUUAAAGGUUUUGGUUUAAAAAAAGA